Molecule: ribosomal RNA, 253 nt
Filed under: uncultured bacterium
Lineage: Bacteria
Description: partial 16S ribosomal RNA
Rfam family: Bacterial small subunit ribosomal RNA
Source: RNAcentral
UACAGAGGGUGCAAGCGUUAAUCGGAAUUACUGGGCGUAAAGGGCGCGUAGGUGGUUAGGUAAGUCGGAUGUGAAAUCCCCGGGCUCAACCUGGGAACUGCAUUCGAAACUGUCUGACUAGAGUUUGGUAGAGGGAAGUGGAAUUCCACAUGUAGCGGUGAAAUGCGUAGAUAUGUGGAGGAACAUCAGUGGCGAAGGCGGCUUCCUGGACUAAAACUGACACUGAGGCGCGAAAGCGUGGGGAGCAAACAGG